AGCGAACGCUGGCGGCAGGCCUAACACAUGCAAGUCGAACGAACUCUUCGGAGUUAGUGGCGGACGGGUGAGUAACACGUGGGAACGUGCCUUUUGGUUCGGAAUAACUCAGGGAAACUUGUGCUAAUACCGAAUGUGCCCUUCGGGGGAAAGAUUUAUCGCCAUUAGAGCAGCCCGCGUCUGAUUAGCUAGUUGGUGAGGUAACGGCUCACCAAGGCGACGAUCAGUAGCUGGUCUGAGAGGAUGACCAGCCACACUGGGACUGAGACACGGCCCAGACUCCUACGGGAGGCAGCAGUGGGGAAUCUUGCGCAAUGGGCGAAAGCCUGACGCAGCCAUGCCGCGUGAAUGAUGAAGGUCUUAGGAUUGUAAAAUUCUUUCACCGGGGACGAUAAUGACGGUACCCGGAGAAGAAGCCCCGGCUAACUUCGUG
This 433-nucleotide ribosomal RNA is filed under the name uncultured bacterium. RNAcentral's name for it is "partial 16S ribosomal RNA". It matches the Rfam family "Bacterial small subunit ribosomal RNA", at positions 29 to 507 of the family's 1533-position model. The record is from RNAcentral.